RNAcentral lists this ribosomal RNA (910 nucleotides) under Kiskunsagia ubrizsyi. Its description in RNAcentral is "partial large subunit ribosomal RNA". It matches the Rfam family "Eukaryotic large subunit ribosomal RNA", at positions 31 to 961 of the family's 3401-position model. Lineage: Eukaryota; Fungi; Ascomycota; Dothideomycetes; Pleosporales; Lophiostomataceae. The record is from RNAcentral.
AAACUAGCAUAUCAAUAAGCGGAGGAAAAGAAACCAACAGGGAUUGCCCUAGUAACGGCGAGUGAAGCGGCAACAGCUCAAAUUUGAAAUCUGGCUCCUUUGGGGUCCGAGUUGUAAUUUGCAGAGGGUGCUUUGGCGUUGGUUGUGGUCUAAGUUCCUUGGAACAGGACGUCGCAGAGGGUGAGAAUCCCGUAUGUGGCCGCCAGCCUCUGCCGUGUAAAGCCCCUUCGACGAGUCGAGUUGUUUGGGAAUGCAGCUCUAAAUGGGAGGUAAAUUUCUUCUAAAGCUAAAUAUCUGCCAGAGACCGAUAGCGCACAAGUAGAGUGAUCGAAAGAUGAAAAGCACUUUGGAAAGAGAGUCAAAAAGCACGUGAAAUUGUUGAAAGGGAAGCGCUUGCAGCUAGACGUGCCUUUAGUUGAUCAGCCGGGCUUCUGCCCGGUGCACUCUUCUACUGGCAGGCCAGCAUCAGUUUGGGCGGCUGGAUAAAGGUCUAUUAAACGUGACUCCCUUUGGGGAGAGCUUAUAGGGUAGGCGACAUGCAGCCAGCCUGAACUGAGGUCCGCGCAUCUGCUAGGAUGCUGGCGUAAUAGCUGUAAGCGGCCCGUCUUGAAACACGGACCAAGGAGUCUAACAUCUAUGCGAGUGUUUGGGUGUCAAGCCCGAGCGCGCAAUGAAAGUAAACGGAGGUGGGAACCCUUUGGGUGCACCAUCGACCGAUCCUGAUGUCUUCGGAUGGAUUUGAGUAAGAGCAUAGCUGUUGGGACCCGAAAGAUGGUGAACUAUGCCUGAAUAGGGUGAAGCCAGAGGAAACUCUGGUGGAGGCUCGCAGCGGUUCUGACGUGCAAAUCGAUCGUCAAAUUUGGGCAUAGGGGCGAAAGACUAAUCGAACUAUCUAGUAGCUGGUUCCUGC